This 232-nucleotide ribosomal RNA is filed under the name uncultured bacterium. RNAcentral describes it as "partial 16S ribosomal RNA". It matches the Rfam family "Bacterial small subunit ribosomal RNA", at positions 99 to 334 of the family's 1533-position model. The record is from RNAcentral.
CGGACGGGUGAGUGAUGUCUGGGAAACUGCCCGAUGGAGGGGGAUAACUACUGGAAACGGUAGCUAAUACCGCAUAACGUCGCAAGACCAAAGAGGGGGACCUUCGGGCCUCUUGCCAUCGGAUGUGCCCAGAUGGGAUUAGCUAGUAGGUGGGGUAACGGCUCACCUAGGCGACGAUCCCUAGCUGGUCUGAGAGGAUGACCAGCCACACUGGAACUGAGACACGGUCCAG